RNAcentral lists this small RNA (375 nucleotides) under Histoplasma capsulatum. RNAcentral describes it as "hypothetical RNA". Lineage: Eukaryota; Fungi; Ascomycota; Eurotiomycetes; Onygenales; Ajellomycetaceae. RNAcentral also lists the same sequence under 1 other name. The record is from RNAcentral.
CAACAGGCUAGAACACCGGAGUGCCGGAGUCUCGGACUUGGAGAGCCCAACGUCGCGAUUGACGAUUGACGGUAGGGCUGAGAACGAGGUCAAAAUGCCGGAGUGCCAGCGAACUAGCUUCCACUCUUACCAGCCAGUCAUGACGAGCAGCAAGCAUUUCGUAAGUCGCUGUCUCGAGCAUCGCUGCUUACGAGACGGCAUAUCGAUAUUUGGAAUUCACCGUGCUCCACCGCUGCGAAGUGCUUAUAUGAUGCUUAUUUCAUUCACGAUGAAAGAUAAACGCCUUCAGCUUCACGUCUUAACGACGGCUUGGCCGUUGUUCCCUGACUGCUGCGCAAGGAACGAAAGGUCUAUUACAAACUCAAAGAAACACAA